This 1113-nucleotide long non-coding RNA is filed under the name Equus caballus (horse). RNAcentral's name for it is "lncRNA (ENSECAG00000057962.1)". The record is from RNAcentral. Lineage: Eukaryota; Metazoa; Chordata; Mammalia; Perissodactyla; Equidae.
CUCAACCUCAGCCCAGCGCAGGGCCCUCUGGCUGACUGACGGCAGCUUAACAAGCCAAGAGGUGUGCUUCUUCCUGUGCCCUGCAAUCCUUCUGGGGGAGGCAGAGGGAGACUUGCCCACACGCAGAGGAGAAGGCGACGUAAAGAUGGAGGCGAGACAGAUUCAGAAAUGCUGGCCCCGAGGAUCAGGGUGACGUGGCCACAAGCCAAGGAAUGCUGGCUUAUGGAUUCUCUCCCAGGGCCUCUGGAGGGAGCAGGGCCCUGCCAACACCUUGAUUUUGGCCCAGGGAUUCUGAUUUCGGAUGGCUGUCCUGCAGAACUGUGAGAGAACGCGUUUCUGUUGUUUUAAGCUGCCGCAUUAGCAAAGCCAACAAAUUACAUUCAGUUUAUAUAAUUUAUUACAGCAGUCAUAGGAAACUGACUGCAAUAUGUAAGUCAAAUAGCACACCGCCUGGACGUCUUGCUUUGAAUUAUCACCCCAUCCAUUUGCUAUGUGACCUUGGGUCAAUUACUUACUCUCAGUCUAAGCCUUAGUUUUUCCUCCUGUGAAAUGGGAAUAACAGCACUGCCUCACAGGAUCGGUGUGAGGGUUAAAUGAGAAAAGGGGAAGUGCUUAGGGUAGAGCAGAAUUUCCCCAUCUUGGCCCACUGACAUUUGGGGCUGGACGUUUCUUUGCGGCAAGGGGCUGUGCUGUGCUGUGCAUUGUGGGAUGUUUAGCAGCAUCACUGGCCUUUGUAUACUCACUGCCACAGUACCCCCCCUACAGUGGCGACAGUCAAAAAUGUCUGCAGACGUGGCCGCAUGUCCCCCGGGGGCAAAAUCCCCCUGGCUGAGAAACACCGGCACAGAGCCUGGCUCAUCAAAAGUGCUCAACAGACAGGGACUAUUAUUUGUGCCGAAUGAAGAGGUUGUUUAGGGAGGAAGUAGAGCCUGUGCUUAGGAGCGUGGGUUCUGGCCUCAGACUGCCUGGGUUCCAACCCAAACUCUAUCACUUACCAGCUCUGUGACUUUGGGCUCAUUAUUUAACAUCUCUGUGCCUCAGUCACGCAUCUGUAAAAAAAAGGGAAAAUAAUAUCUACUUCACAGGAUUAUGAAAGGUCAGGUGAGACAAUCC